This is a long non-coding RNA of Oncorhynchus tshawytscha (Chinook salmon), 1212 nucleotides long. The record is from Ensembl. NCBI's taxonomy places the organism in Eukaryota, Metazoa, Chordata, Actinopteri, Salmoniformes, Salmonidae.
CUCGUCCUCUCGCCCUCCUCUCUUUCUGUCCCUGUCUCUCUCAUCCUCUCUCCCUCCCCUCUUUCUGUCCCUGUCUCUCUCAUCCACUCUCCCUCCCCUCUUUCUGUCCCUGUCUCUCUCGCUCUCUGUUUCUCUGUUUGUCUGUCUCUGUGUCUGUCUCUCUCUCAUUCUCUCUGCGUCUCUCUCUCAUUCUCUCUGCGUCUCUCUCUCGUUCUCUCUUCCUCUGUCUCUCUUUCUUUCUUUCUCUCUCUCUCUGUGUGUCUCUCUCUCUCUCUCUCUCUCUCUCUCUGUGUCUCUCUCUCUCUCUCUCCCUGUGUGUGUGUGUGUCUCUCUGUCUCUGUGUAUGUCUGUCUGUACUUCCACAGUUUCGCCAGUGGGGAGCAGUGGAAGUGCAUCAACCCCAAAGCCAGAUGGCUCUCUGCUGAGCUAGCAUCACUGGAACAGAGAGGAAUACAGUGUGACCCACUGAUUAAAUAACCAUCAGACCAUGAUCCUAGAUCAUCAUCAUCGUCAGCAGCAGGUUCAGCAGCCUCUGUCAACCAGGAACUACAGAACUAAGAUCUCUCUCAAGCAGGAACUACAGAACUAAGAUCUCUGUCAAGCAGGAACUACAGAACUAAGAUCUCUGUCAAGCAGGAACUACAGAACUAAGAUCUCUCUCAAGCAGGAACUACAGAACUAAGAACUCUCUCAACCAGGAACUACAGAACUAAGAACUCUCUCAACCAGGAACUACAGAACUAAGAUAAUAAGAAGACAGUGAAAAUGAAGAUUAUGAUUUGUGUGAUUUAAGUAUUUCAAGCUGUCUUUAUCAGAUUAUUUAUGUAUUUAUUUAUUUAUUUCAACCUCAUCCCGGCAUUAAUUUAUUGUACUCAAUUCAUUAAGGUGUUUUAAAGGCAUUUGUAUUUAUUUAUUUCCUCUGUCCUUUUUUUAUGCUGUGAUAAUAACAUACCUUUGUUUGUAUAAAGUCUUUCAUUCUCAAAGUGCUUUACAGUGAUACAAAAUAAAGAAUGGGAGACCUAUCUGAGUAUCUCCAUAGUAACUAGACCCUGUAAUGGCUGCAUAAAGGUUAAAGGUUGUGACACUCAAUCAUGUCACUGGGCUGUGGUCAUGGUGAUGACACUGCCCAUCCGUUCUACCAACAAAGCCAUUCCCUCAGUCCCUGACCAUAUCCUCUUCCACUAGUCGCUACUCCUUGUCCUUGUCCUUAAC